Molecule: ribosomal RNA, 52 nt
Filed under: uncultured fungus
Lineage: Eukaryota; Fungi
Description: partial 5.8S ribosomal RNA
Rfam family: 5.8S ribosomal RNA
About the family: 5.8S ribosomal RNA (5.8S rRNA) is a component of the large subunit of the eukaryotic ribosome. It is transcribed by RNA polymerase I as part of the 45S precursor that also contains 18S and 28S rRNA.
Source: RNAcentral
ACAACUUUCAACAAUGGAUCUCUUGGCUCUGGCAUCGAUGAAGAACGCAGCG